GGGAGUGUAGCUCAGUGGUAGAGCGCAUGCUUGGCGUAGGUCCUGGGUUCAAUCCCCAGUGCCUCCG
Molecule: transfer RNA, 67 nt
Filed under: Camelus bactrianus (Bactrian camel)
Lineage: Eukaryota; Metazoa; Chordata; Mammalia; Artiodactyla; Camelidae
Also listed under: 2 other names
Rfam family: tRNA
About the family: Transfer RNA (tRNA) molecules are approximately 80 nucleotides in length. Their secondary structure includes four short double-helical elements and three loops (D, anti-codon, and T loops).
Source: Rfam by way of RNAcentral